This 94-nucleotide microRNA precursor is filed under the name Marmota monax (woodchuck). The record is from RNAcentral. Lineage: Eukaryota; Metazoa; Chordata; Mammalia; Rodentia; Sciuridae.
AGUGGGAUAGCUGAGUCAAAUAGUGGCUCCAUUUCUAAGGAAUCUCCAUACUGCUUUCCAGAUUGGUUAUACUAUCUGCAGUCCCAUCAACAAU